GAUGAACGCUGGCGGCGUGCCUAAUACAUGCAAGUCGAGCGAACAGACGAGGAUCUUGCUCCUCUGACGUUAGCGGCGGACGGGUGAGUAACACGUGGAUAACCUACCUAUAAGACUGGGAUAACUUCGGGAAACCGGAGCUAAUACCGGAUAAUAUAUUGAACCGCAUGGUUCAAUAGUGAAUGACGGUUUUUCUGUCACUUAUAGAUGGAUCCGCGCUGCAUUAGCUAGUUGGUAAGGUAACGGCUUACCAAGGCAACGAUGCGUAGCCGACCUGAGAGGGUGAUCGGCCACACGGGAAGGGAGACACGGUCCAGACUCCUACGGGAGGCAGCAGUAGGGAAUCGUCCGCAAUGGGCGAAAGCCUGACGGAGCAACGCCGAGUGAGUGAUGAAGGUCUUCGGAUAGUAAAACUCUGUUAUUAGGGAAGAACAAAUGUGUAAGUAACUAUGCACGUAUUGACGGUACCUAAUCAGAAAGCCACGGCUAACUACGUG
RNAcentral lists this ribosomal RNA (497 nucleotides) under uncultured bacterium. RNAcentral's name for it is "partial 16S ribosomal RNA". It matches the Rfam family "Bacterial small subunit ribosomal RNA", at positions 28 to 507 of the family's 1533-position model. The record is from RNAcentral.